Molecule: non-coding RNA, 50 nt
Filed under: Sus scrofa (pig)
Lineage: Eukaryota; Metazoa; Chordata; Mammalia; Artiodactyla; Suidae
Source: RNAcentral
GCGGGGGGGGGGGCGGCGGGAGACGGGGCGCGUAGGUCCUUCCGCCCCUG